GUGCUCACUUUGGCAGCGCAUAUACUAAACCUGGAAUGAUACAGAGAAGAUUAGCAUGGCCCCUGUGCAAGGAUGACACACAAAUUGGUGAAGUAUUCCAUAUUUUU
Molecule: small nuclear RNA, 107 nt
Filed under: Neotoma lepida (desert woodrat)
Lineage: Eukaryota; Metazoa; Chordata; Mammalia; Rodentia; Cricetidae
Source: RNAcentral